ACACAUUUUAGAGCCUAAUUCACUUUAAUUAACAAUCAAAAUUACAUUCAAAUCCAAAUUCAAAACUUUAAUGCUAAAGUAUAUUCUUAAAUAAAUUUAUUGUAAUCCAUCUCUACUUAUAUAAGCUGCACCUUGAUCUGAUCUUUUAUAUAAUUAAAUAUUCCAAUUAUAUAUUUUUAAAAAUAAUUUUUAACGACGAUAUACAAGCAAAAUAAAAGUUUUAUUAAUCGUGGAUUAUCGAUUACAGGACAGAUUCCCCUGAUUGGAAUAAAAAACCGCCAAAUUUUUUGAUUUUGAAGUUCGUAACUAAUAUUUAUCAGGUUUCCAAUCUACAUUUAGAAUAAUGGGGUAUCUAAUCCCAGUUUAUCAUCUAAAUUUCUUAACUUCAAAAUCAAAAAUCUAAUUAAAUAAAAAAUAGGAUUCCACCCAAUAUUUAUUAAAAUAAAAAUUUAUUCAUUAAUAAUUAAAUAUAACCAAAAAAAAAUAGUAGCAUUAUUUGUUUAACCGCA
Molecule: ribosomal RNA, 509 nt
Filed under: Montrouzierella sp. JGZ-66
Lineage: Eukaryota; Metazoa; Arthropoda; Insecta; Coleoptera; Chrysomelidae
Description: partial 12S ribosomal RNA
Source: RNAcentral